Molecule: long non-coding RNA, 285 nt
Filed under: Sorghum bicolor (sorghum)
Lineage: Eukaryota; Viridiplantae; Streptophyta; Magnoliopsida; Poales; Poaceae
Description: long non-coding RNA (SBIC_LNC013497)
Source: RNAcentral
UUCUCCAGCUGAUGACUAGCUCAAAAUGCUCAAUUAUUCCUUCUAACUUGUUGUUGAUUAGUUCUUUGUCAAGGUGAUUUUUGGAAAAGUUUUGGGAGUAAGUUAAAAAUAAGGUUGUUCAAGCACCCAACAAUUUUUUCGAACUCAACCUCAAAGAUGACGGCUUUCUUAUAAUACCUAUUAUUUUUUCGAGACCUAGUUACAGACACAAACACUUAUAAACAUGAGUGUACACUUACCCCUAUGAAUGCACGCACACAGACUUUAUCUCUAUAAGUACCUCCG